UUGAUAUCUUCUUCUAUGAAUAAAUGGAGAAUAUGGUUACGAACGGAUGAAUCAUGGUUGUCCAUGCCCGAUCUUCCCUCUAUUUUUUCGAAAUCUGUUCUUGUUCAUCUUGUUAUAUUGAAGUUGUUCCACUCUUAGAGUUUAGAGAGUUCUUCACCAUCCAAUCAUCACUGUUACUCAACAACAGAUACUCAGUGCCAAUCGUUAUUCAUCAAGAUGUUCACAAGCAUCACGAGUUUUCUGAUUUGGGGCUUUUUUCAUAAACCCUAAUUUCAGGAAAUUAUGGAUUUUUUACCUUCUUUUGAGUAGGAUUAGUGGCAGUAGGAAGAGGUUAUUUGAGAAUGUGGAUGAGUAUGUGAAUAUGGAUGAUAAUGAUUAUGAGAAUGUUGUAUUUAGUGCUGAAACAAGACAAGCUGGGUUGGAGUAUGAGAACAUUCAGCUAUGUAAUAAUGUUGAAGAUGUCUGUCAUCCGAUUGAUGAUCCUAGAAGUCCAGUUUCUGAUACUGAAGAAAUGAGCAUUGGUGUAUACUAUGAUUUUUUGAACAAUUACUUUAAGGACCACAACUGGGUUGACACUGUACACCCACAACAGUAUAUGGAUGCAGUCAAUGAAGUACAAGGCAGCAGUGUGGAGCAAGAAGGUGAGCAGGAAGAUCCAAAAGGAAAAGCAAUUGUUCCUUGUGAUACUGAGGGUAAUGAGGAUUAGAACAUUGAUGAUGAUAGUUCAAGCUCUGAAUCUGAUGGUGAAGAAGUCCAAGGACAAUUUAAUGGUGGUAAUGAGCCAACUCAUCAGAAACAGAAUCCACGGUACAAUCAGUUUGAGCAAGUGCAUGGUCCAGACAUUGAUGCAGAUGGAAAUUGAGAGUUGUUUCCUGGUGCUGAUGGGAAUGCAUUACUCAUGGUUGAUGUUGACACAAUGUUUGUGCGAAUGCAGUUUAUGGAUAAAGAUGACUUCAAGAAGCACCUACGAGGUUAUCCCAUUAAGAAGAGAUUCCAGUACAAGCUUAAGCCCAAUGAAAAUGAAAGGAUCAAAGUUAUAUGCAGGUUCAAGAAAUCUCAAGACUGCAAGUUCUUCAUCUGGGCAAGUGUUACCAGGGGUGAACCAACUUUUACUGUGAGGAGGUUCAACUUAAAGCAUACAUGUACAACUCAACUGAAGACCAGAAAUAGAGCAGCUAAUGCAGAAUUUGUUGCUGAGUAUUUGUAUGACAAGAUAAAGAGAGGAGAUACAAUGCCACUGCCAUAUGCACUCAAAGAUCAAUUCUUUACUACUCACAAUACCAAUGUCCCAUAUCAUGUUACAUAGAGAGCAAUAAGAAUGACUUAGAAAGACUCAAUGGAAGCUAUGAUGAAUCUUAUAGGCUGGUUCCAGCCUUUUGUGAUAUGAUAGAAGCAACUAAUCCUGGUUCUGUUACAAAUUACUCUUUUGGAAGUGAGGACAAAUGUUUUGAGUCCAUGAUGAUUGCAUUUGCAGCACCAAUUCAAGGAUGGAAGGAUGGUGGUAGACCAGUCAUUGGUUUCGAUGCCUGCCAUUUGACUGGAAAACAUGGUGGAUGUCUAAUGUCAGCUAUUGGUUCAGAUGGACAUAAUGGGAUAGUGACUCUAGCCAUAAAGGUGGUCAAAAAUGAAUUUGGGGAAAAUUGGCACUUAUUCAUGAAAGAGCUGAGCCACUUAUUGAAGACCAUCCUGCUGGGAAGCUAACCUUUAUCUCAGACAUAAAAAAAGGUCUCCAAGAGUCAUUGGAUGAGGUUUUCCCUGAACAUUUAAAAAGAUACUUCUUUCGAACUUGAAGACACACUUCAAGGAAUCAAAGUUGCGCUCUUAUAUACAAUGCUGCCAAAUGCUACAAGGAGAGACACUGGAAGUAUACAUGAUGAAGGAAAAACCAGAACAAUGGUCCAGGGCUUUCUUUGACCCAUCUGCAUGUUGUGAGCACUUAAACAACAAUUUCUCUGAGUCCUUAAAUAACAUGAUUAAAAAUAUGAUAGACAAGCCUAUUUGUGCCCUUGGAAUGAUGUAUGGCCAGCUAGUUAUGGGUACUAUGUUCAAAAGAAGAAAUGUGAGUGCAAAUUGGGAAAAUGGUAAGUUGGUGUCAACUGCGCAUGACUUGAUUGAUGAGAUGUAGAAAUGUUUUGGAGCAUUCAGGGUUAAUGGAGAAAUUAUUGACAAGUUAUAUGAAGUGACUUCAAAGACAAAUGUUGUAUUUCAAGUUGAUGUGGUUGAGAAGACUUGUUCAUGUGUUCAGUGGAAGCUUAGAGGCUUUGUAUGUCAACAUGUAGUGUGUGUGCUUAUGGACAUGAGAAUCAAUUGGGCAGAUUAUUGCAGCAAGUACUAUCAUGUAGAAUGUUACAAGGAAAUUUAUGCACCUGAGAUGGGGUUACUGAUUGGAAGAGAAGAGCGGCCUAAGCCAUUGGUAGAAAUCAACCCACCCAUAGAUAUGAGGAAACCAGGAAGGCCUUGCAAGAAAAGGAAGAGAGAACAUGAUGAACUUCACAGUGAGAAGGUGGUCGGAACUUGUAAGAGAUGCAAGAUGCCUGGUCAUAACAGGAGGACAUGUGCUGGUGCACCAGUUGGAUCUAAUCCAAAACAAAAAUACAAAGAACUAUGGUGGAAGGAGGAAGUCAUAAGACUACUUACCCAGAUCCUACAGAGCUGAGUACCAGUAUAAGGGCAAGUAAUAGGGGAAGAGAAAAAGGAUUUGCAUCAUCUUCUCAGCCUACCACUGCAUCAUCUUCUCAGCCUACAUCUGCAUCAUAUGGAUCUAGGGGUGGCAGGGGUUCAAGAGGUGGAAGAGGUUCUAGGGGAGGUAGGUAUGGUGGUAGAUUUGUGCAACAUCCAUUGAGCCAGACCAUCGGUGGUGUUGUUGGGUUGUCUCAGACUCUUUCUCAGACAUUCACAGUCCCUAAACCAAAGACAAAGAAAGUGACAUUCUCUGCUACUCAAUGAAGACUAGUUGCUGGUAGUUAAAUGAUGUUGUGUUGGGUUUAGUUCAAUUUCAGUCCCUCGUUGUUUUUUUGCUUGUUUGAAUGGAUGUUUAUGGUGCUUGUUUGAAUGGAUUUCACUGCAUCUGUUAGCAGUUAACUUAAGUAACAGACUUAUAUUAAUUAUUAAUGAAUAUUAAUAUAUAUGUAAUUAACUUAA
Papaver somniferum (opium poppy) is the source of this 3141-nucleotide RNA transcript. RefSeq lists it as uncharacterized. The transcript is spliced from 8 exons. The record is from RefSeq and is a predicted model, not a curated record. Lineage: Eukaryota; Viridiplantae; Streptophyta; Magnoliopsida; Ranunculales; Papaveraceae.